RNAcentral lists this ribosomal RNA (547 nucleotides) under uncultured Aquabacterium sp. RNAcentral's name for it is "bacterial SSU rRNA". It matches the Rfam family "Bacterial small subunit ribosomal RNA", at positions 356 to 896 of the family's 1533-position model. The record is from RNAcentral. Lineage: Bacteria; Pseudomonadati; Pseudomonadota; Betaproteobacteria; Burkholderiales; Sphaerotilaceae.
GGGGAAUUUUGGACAAUGGGGGCAACCCUGAUCCAGCCAUGCCGCGUGCGGGAAGAAGGCCUUCGGGUUGUAAACCGCUUUUGUCAGGGAAGAAACGGUCUGCGCUAAUACCGCGGACUAAUGACGGUACCUGAAGAAUAAGCACCGGCUAACUACGUGCCAGCAGCCGCGGUAAUACGUAGGGUGCAAGCGUUAAUCGGAAUUACUGGGCGUAAAGCGUGCGCAGGCGGCUUUGCAAGACAGAUGUGAAAUCCCCGGGCUCAACCUGGGAACUGCAUUUGUGACUGCAUGGCUAGAGUGCGGCAGAGGGGGAUGGAAUUCCGCGUGUAGCAGUGAAAUGCGUAGAUAUGCGGAGGAACACCGAUGGCGAAGGCAAUCCCCUGGGCCUGCACUGACGCUCAUGCACGAAAGCGUGGGGAGCAAACAGGAUUAGAUACCCUGGUAGUCCACGCCCUAAACGAUGUCAACUGGUUGUUGGACGGCUUGCUGUUCAGUAACGAAGCUAACGCGUGAAGUUGACCGCCUGGGGAGUACGGCCGCAAGGUUG